GGGCGGUUAGCUCAGUGGGAGAGCACUUCCCUGACACGGAAGGGGUCAUUGGUUCAAUCCCAAUACCGCCCACCA
Molecule: transfer RNA, 75 nt
Filed under: Verrucomicrobiia bacterium
Lineage: Bacteria; Pseudomonadati; Verrucomicrobiota; Verrucomicrobiia
Also listed under: 5 other names
Description: tRNA-Val
Rfam family: tRNA
About the family: Transfer RNA (tRNA) molecules are approximately 80 nucleotides in length. Their secondary structure includes four short double-helical elements and three loops (D, anti-codon, and T loops).
Source: RNAcentral